Molecule: ribosomal RNA, 253 nt
Filed under: uncultured bacterium
Lineage: Bacteria
Description: partial 16S ribosomal RNA
Rfam family: Bacterial small subunit ribosomal RNA
Source: RNAcentral
UACAGAGGGUGCGAGCGUUUAUCGGAAUUACUGGGCGUAAAGGGUGCGUAGGUGGUUCGAUAAGUCAGUUGUGAAAUCCCUGGGCUUAACCUGGGAAUUGCAUUUGAUACUGUCAAACUAGAGUGUGGUAGAGGUAAGCGGAAUUCCCGGUGUAGCGGUGAAAUGCGUAGAUAUCGGGAGGAACAUCAGUGGCGAAGGCGGCUUACUGGACCAACACUGACACUGAGGCACGAAAGCGUGGGUAGCAAACAGG